Molecule: ribosomal RNA, 301 nt
Filed under: uncultured bacterium
Lineage: Bacteria
Description: partial 16S ribosomal RNA
Rfam family: Bacterial small subunit ribosomal RNA
Source: RNAcentral
CAGUAGCCGCGGUAAUACGGAGGGUGCAAGCGUUAAUCGGAAUUACUGGGCGUAAAGCGCACGCAGGCGGUCUGACAAGUCAGAUGUGAAAUCCCCGGGCUUAACCUGGGAACUGCAUUUGAAACUGUCAGGCUGGAGUCUUGUAGAGGGGGGUGGAAUUCCAGGUGUAGCGGUGAAAUGCGUAGAGAUCUGGAGGAAUACCGGUGGCGAAGGCGGCCCCCUGGACAAAGACUGACGCUCAGGUGCGAAAGCGUGGGGAGCAAACAGGAUUAGAUACCCCGGUAGUCCCUGUCUCUUAUAA